Bombus pascuorum is the source of this 2563-nucleotide long non-coding RNA. RefSeq lists it as uncharacterized. The record is from RefSeq and is a predicted model, not a curated record. The transcript is spliced from 4 exons. Lineage: Eukaryota; Metazoa; Arthropoda; Insecta; Hymenoptera; Apidae.
AUCGUUAACUCGAUUCCACGCUCGAUUCCCAUGGUUGGUAGAUAAAUUCGCGUCAUUAGAGGUUAAUGGAUAAAUUCACGUGUCUUAUUGGAAACUCUUUUUUAUCAUCGGAUUAUUGUGUGCUAAUAAACGAGCAGCAUCAAUCAUCGUUAGUGAAAUGAAACGGACGAAUACACACACGGAAACAUAUAAACGGAUAACAUCGGAAUCCUAAGCUUUCUGGAGAUCUCCCGUAGCCAAAUACAACGACGACGACGCGACAACAUGCUCUGGGAGUUCGGAGGUCUGUUUACACGAGUUCGCAAAUAUAGCCAUAGGUAUCGGAGCCAACCGAAGCGAAGAAUUGAUAAAUUAGUUAUUCCGUCAGUCGUCUGCUGCUGUUCCUCCAGAAACGAAGAACUACAGGUCUUGUGGCGAUCUAAUGUUGCAGAAUCAAAAAGUAUAUUUUUCCAUGAAACGGACAUAAUUUGAUGUCAUACAUGUAAUCUGAUACAUGUCAGACGUUAGAGAUUAUACAAAGUUAUAAAUUAUUCGGAAAAGCUUUAAUAGUGGGCGUAGCUGGCCCGUUUAUCAUCGGAUAACAGUUCCGGAGUAUAUCCUUUGAAUGUAACUCUACUCUUGGGCAAACAAGACUAAGGGUUAUGACCAUUCUCGUUUGUCUUUGCAUCCAGAGAAUCUUCGCGCGAAAUCCCUAGCCAGGACCCAAUUAACUCUCUAAGAAUUCGAUCCUAUCCCAUGGUAAUUCUAAGAUAGUACGACUCGAACAGCAGAUUAGAAAAGACAAUAUUUGCUUCGGUGCUUCUGCGUCUAAUCGCAGAUGCGCCUUCACUUAAUAUCGCUUACUAUUUGUCUUCCCUUACAAUGGAAAUUUGCGACGUGGGUAUUACACAGAUAGAACAAAAAUCGAGGGUCACGUCCAAAAUAGCCGACAUCUGAUGCGAACUGCAACGCUUCUAAGAAUCCUUCGUCUCUGACCACAGAAACCCGUAUCCGCAUCGACGACGGUUUGAAUUGAAGAUUUUUGCGGACGGUAACUCGUUGGCUCACGCGCUAACGUAUUUGCAAGAUCCGCUGCGCUGAUGGACAUAUAAUGCGACGUGUGAUUGUAGGCCCGCCAAUCGCGGCCGAUUGUGCCUCUGAAGGCCCGCUAACUAUCUCAAACUAGCCCCAUUCAAACCGCCACGACCUCUCUCUAGCCGUCUCUAUCUACCAGCCCAGCCUCUGUGUCUCGCUCGUUCCAACCCUCAUUCACCGCCACCCUCCCCCCGGUACCCGUGCGUCUCGUUCAUCACCAAACUUCGCCUCUCUGUUGCUCUCAACUUGCGUCUCGUUUGCACCGACUUCACAGGACGAUUUUCCCUCCUACUCGGUGAAAACUCAGUCCUCAUUCGACGUUCGAAUUCGACGUACGUUUCUUGCCGCACGUUUCUUCUGCACGCCCUGUAUCCCUCUCUAAUUUUCGACCGGCUCUCUCGCCACACACGUAAUCUUCUAUUUCAUUCGCUUUACCUUUCCUAAUGCGAUAGCUCGCUCCAUACACAUACACAGUCGUAGCCUCAUCUCUCUUCAAUCUCACUUCGCGGAUCGAAUGUUUUGCCUUCCAUUUAACAUUCUUUAUCUCGCUCCCUCUAUUCAAUUCUUUCAAAAAAAGCUUUUCUCUUCGAGGUUCUGGCGAUUCCAUUCGCCCCGUUAUCUGGUCCUCCGUCCAUCUAAUGUUUCCACUUUCUUUUCAUCCGUUAAAUCGUGCAUCUCGUUUAACUCGACUUCCGUCGAAAUUCAUACAUUCUCGCCUCUAGCCAUUCCUUUUAAGAAUGUAAGCCCUACAUGCACUUUCUUCCCUGCUCCACCGUCACCGCUUCUCACUCGUUUGAUUUUCGCGUUCUUUUUCUCGACUAUGCAGCACUGCUUCAUUUUCCCCCUUCUUAAAUCUAUGUUCUCUCUCACUUUCGUCCCUCUCUCUCUCUCUCUCUCUCUCUCUUUCUCUCUACCCUUUCGAACCGCAACCAACUACCUCUCCUCUUUCAACCUAUUCCCCCGACGUACCUUAUCUCUAUUCUCGGUCUCUGUUCGACCUGCUUCAUUCAUCGACACAAUCACGCAUGGUUACGUAGGUACAUUCCGCUAGGCGUCACCGAGUAUUCGUCCCGAUUCGAAUUCUCGACCCUAUAUAACCGUGGCACGUUCUACGUGGGAAUUUCAAAUCUAUCAGCGACCCAGACGAAUGCAAAUCGCGCAUGAAGCGCGCUUAAUAAAGCCUCGCACGCGGCCCGCAACUCGCAAUUUUCUUUUCGACGCUACGUGUCGCACGCUCCUCUUAAUGAAACCUUCGCAUGCACCGUGCGCAAUUCGCGGCUACGCUCUCAUUCAACACGCAUCUCCGUCCCGCGAUACCGUUAGAAAAAGAACGCACUCGGGAUCGUUAAGCUUCGGCCCAGGGGAGAGAACGAGGGCCAUUUCAACUCCCUUGUAGAAAGAGAUCCGUUCAUAAGAAUACAAGUUCCAUAGAAUAAAACUUUUCUAGUAAAUCACGGAAAUUCUAUUGUCUAAUAAACUUUAUGGAUAU